GAUGAACGCCGGCGGCGUGUCUAAUAAAUGCAAGUCGAGCGAAGCGGGGACGGGUGAGUAACACGUUGAUAACCUCCUAUAAGACUGGGAUAACUUCUGUACACCGGAGCUAAACCGGAUACUUAUCGAUGGAUCCGCGCUGCAUUAGCUAGUCGCUAAGGUACCGGCUUACCAAUGCAACGAUGCAUAGCCGUCCUGAGAGGGUGAUCCGCCACAGUGAAACUGGGGCACGGUCCAGAGUGCGACGGGAGGCAGCAGUAGGGAAUCUUCCGCAAUGGGCGAAAGCCUGACGGAGCAACGCCGCGUGAGUAAUGAAAGUCUUCGGAUCAUAAAACUCUGUUAUUAUGGAAGCGGUGCCUAAUCAGAAGACCACGGCUAACUACGUGCCAGCAGCCGCGGUAAUUC
This 405-nucleotide ribosomal RNA is filed under the name uncultured bacterium. RNAcentral's name for it is "partial 16S ribosomal RNA". It matches the Rfam family "Bacterial small subunit ribosomal RNA", at positions 28 to 526 of the family's 1533-position model. The record is from RNAcentral.